RNAcentral lists this ribosomal RNA (467 nucleotides) under uncultured bacterium. RNAcentral's name for it is "partial 16S ribosomal RNA". It matches the Rfam family "Bacterial small subunit ribosomal RNA", at positions 29 to 507 of the family's 1533-position model. The record is from RNAcentral.
ACGCACGUUGGCGGCGUGCUUAACACAUGCAAGUCGAACGGAAAGGCCCUGCUUUUGUGGGGUGCUCGAGUGGCGAACGGGUGAGUAACACGUGAGUAACCUGCCCUUGACUUUGGGAUAACUUCAGGAAACUGGGGCUAAUACCGGAUAGGAGCUCCUGCUGCAUGGUGGGGGUUGGAAAGUUUCGGCGGUUGGGGAUGGACUCGCGGCUUAUCAGCUUGUUGGUGGGGUAGUGGCUUACCAAGGCUUUGACGGGUAGCCGGCCUGAGAGGGUGACCGGCCACAUUGGGACUGAGAUACGGCCCAGACUCCUACGGGAGGCAGCAGUGGGGAAUAUUGCACAAUGGGCGGAAGCCUGAUGCAGCAACGCCGCGUGCGGGAUGACGGCCUUCGGGUUGUAAACCGCUUUCGCCUGUGACGAAGCGUGAGUGACGGUAAUGGGUAAAGAAGCACCGGCUAACUACGUG